RNAcentral lists this long non-coding RNA (345 nucleotides) under Gossypium barbadense (sea-island cotton). Its description in RNAcentral is "long non-coding RNA (GBAR_LNC019768)". The record is from RNAcentral. Lineage: Eukaryota; Viridiplantae; Streptophyta; Magnoliopsida; Malvales; Malvaceae.
ACACUGGACUGCUUAUACUCUGUAUGAGGUUCGACAUUGGCAGAGCGAGCAUGUGUAAAACUGGUACUCGGGCUUUUAACUGCAAAGGCUCUUUCGUUGUCUGUUUGAGCUCCAAUAAUCAAGUUAGCAUACUUCCUUAACAGGUAGUAAAGAUAUUUUAAGAUCUUUUUCUUUGGUUGGUCACAGUCACUGACUUUCUCCAGCAACUUCUUUAUAGAUCUUUUCUCUAUCAAGAUAGCUUUCGGAGACGUAAUAUGAAGUCGUGAUGCUGCAGAUUGAAGAGCUUUCAUUUCGGCGUAUUCCAUUGAAUCAGAUGCCGCAGCACCUCGAUGGAGUAAUUCGCGC